CGAAAUCUAUGUGCGCAUUACGCAUCCCCUGCGCUUUGGAAACAUUCAGCCUCCUUACGCACAUUUUCCUGUGUCUCUAUCCCUACAGGGGUCGCUUCUAAAUUCAGUCCCAUCUGCAAAAGAGAACCUCAAACCUUCGACUCUCAAACCUUCGACUCAAAUCAAAUCCUCUAUCUUCAUUACACUCUUUUUCCCUUCCACUAAUUGUUUUCAAUUUCUGUUUUUUCUUUCAAACCUAACCCUAAUUUCACAUUUUUUCUUUAAAGUUUUCCUUGGCUUUCUAUAACUCUCUGUAAAUUCAUUACUUGGGAGCUUAUAUGCUAUUGAAUUAUUGUUGCUUUCCUUAAAGUAAAGGAAAAAUUAAAAUACUGAAGACUGAUUUAUUUAUCUGUUUCUGAUUCAAAUUCAUAGUUUUUUGUUUGCUGAGGUUUGUGGGUUUUCUUAUUUAGUAGCUUUUGGAAAAGCAAUAGAGUUAAAGUUUGGUUUUUCCUUUCCAAAAAUUUUGAAACAUUGUCGUAUUUCUCUCUCUACCGAUCAGUUCUACAACUAACAAUAUCAACUAAUACACUAUCAGCACCAAACCCAUAAAGACUUGAUUUUCUAUCAGUGAUCGACAACUCCCUUUUGUGGUAAUCUGAUGAUUUGUUGAAUUCUAUUGCAAAAUGUCGGUGGAAAGGUCGUUCGAAGCAUGGGAGGAAGUGCAGCGGCAUGGC
Molecule: unclassified non-coding RNA, 713 nt
Filed under: Hevea brasiliensis (rubber tree)
Lineage: Eukaryota; Viridiplantae; Streptophyta; Magnoliopsida; Malpighiales; Euphorbiaceae
Source: RNAcentral